This 211-nucleotide non-coding RNA is filed under the name Roseibium aggregatum. The record is from RNAcentral. RNAcentral also lists the same sequence under 1 other name. Lineage: Bacteria; Pseudomonadati; Pseudomonadota; Alphaproteobacteria; Hyphomicrobiales; Stappiaceae.
AAAUCUAGACGAUGCGAUGGUUUCGCCCGAACAAGCGUAAGGGCGGAUGAAAUGGGAACACGGUGAGGCGUACCCAACAGGGACCAAUACCGUGGCUGCCCCCGCAACUGUAUGCGACGAGCAAAGCCCUUCAAGCCACUGGAGCGAUCCGGGAAGGCGGGCAGCGCAGAGACUCGCGAGCCAGGAAACCUGCCAUCCAGCGGUCCCAUCG